AUACAGGGUGACAGCCCCGUACACAAAAGCGCAUGUGCUGUGAGCUCGAUGAGUAGGGCGGGACACGUGGUAUCCUGUCUGAAUAUGGGGGGACCAUCCUCCAAGGCUAAAUACUCCUGACUGACCGAUAGUGAACCAGUACCGUGAGGGAAAGGCGAAAAGAACCCCGGCGAGGGGAGUGAAAAAGAACCUGAAACCGUGUACGUACAAGCAGUGGGAGCACCCUUUGGGGUGUGACUGCGUACCUUUUGUAUAAUGGGUCAGCGACUUAUAUUCUGUAGCAAGGUUAACCGAAUAGGGGAGCCGGAGGGAAACCGAGUCUUAAUUGGGCGUUAAGUUGCAGGGUAUAGACCCGAAACCCGGUGAUCUAGCCAUGGGCAGGUUGAAGGUUGGGUAACACUAACUGGAGGACCGAACCGACUAAUGUUGAAAAAUUAGCGGAUGACCUGUGGCUGGGGGUGAAAGGCCAAUCAAACCGGGAGAUAGCUGGUUCUCCCCGAAAGCUAUUUAGGUAGCGCCUCGUGAAUUCAUCUCCGGGGGUAGAGCACUGUUUCGGCUAGGGGGCCAUCCCGGCUUACCAACCCGAUGCAAACUGCGAAUACCGGAGAAUGUUAUCACGGGAGACACACGGCGGGUGCUAACGUCCGUCGUGAAGAGGGAAACAACCCAGACCGCCAGCUAAGGUCCCAAAGUCAUGGUUAAGUGGGAAACGAUGUGGGAAGGCCCAGACAGCCAGGAUGUUGGCUUAGAAGCAGCCAUCAUUUAAAGAAAGCGUAAUAGCUCACUGGUCGAGUCGGCCUGCGCGGAAGAUGUAACGGGGCUAAACCAUGCACCGAAGCUGCGGCAGCGACACUAUGUGUUGUUGGGUAGGGGAGCGUUCUGUAAGCCUGCGAAGGUGGCCUGUGAGGGUUGCUGGAGGUAUCAGAAGUGCGAAUGCUGACAUAAGUAACGAUAAAGCGGGUGAAAAGCCCGCUCGCCGGAAGACCAAGGGUUCCUGUCCAACGUUAAUCGGGGCAGGGUGAGUCGACCCCUAAGGCGAGGCCGAAAGGCGUAGUCGAUGGGAAACGGGUUAAUAUUCCCGUACUUGGUGUUACUGCGAAGGGGGGACGGAGAAGGCUAUGUUGGCCGGGCGACGGUUGUCCCGGUUUAAGCGUGUAGGUGUGUGUUCCAGGUAAAUCCGGUU
Molecule: ribosomal RNA, 1183 nt
Filed under: Salmonella enterica
Lineage: Bacteria; Pseudomonadati; Pseudomonadota; Gammaproteobacteria; Enterobacterales; Enterobacteriaceae
Description: partial 23S ribosomal RNA
Rfam family: Bacterial large subunit ribosomal RNA
Source: RNAcentral